UUCUGUUCUGUUGCAGAGUAAAGAAUGAAUGCACAGUCUGAGGGAAAAAGAGAUCUUAUUGGAUAAGAAAGAUGAGUGAACACCAGCAUUUGGUGCUGCAGUUUUAGAACCACUGGCUCGCUUUGGAGUACCCAGCAGACCACAGUGUUUGACGUCCACUUGGAGGUUCCCACUCCCCACUUGAGUGCCCU
Molecule: long non-coding RNA, 191 nt
Filed under: Cavia porcellus (domestic guinea pig)
Lineage: Eukaryota; Metazoa; Chordata; Mammalia; Rodentia; Caviidae
Description: lncRNA (ENSCPOG00000030710.1)
Source: RNAcentral